UGGGGAAUCAUGGUCAAUGGGCGAAAGCCUGAACCUGCGACGCCGCGUGAGUGAUGAAGGUCGUAAGAUCGUAAAACUCUUUUCAGGGAUCUUAAAGCCUGUCUGUCAACAACAGGCAGGUCUGACCCUCCCUGGAAGAAGCACCAGCCAACUACGUGCCAGCAGCUGCGGUAAUACGUAGGGGGCGAGCGUUAUUCGGAAUUACUGGGUGUAAAGGGUAUGUAGGCGGCCCUUCAAGUCGCGUGUCAAAGUCCAGUGCUCAACGCUGGGUGUGCACGCGAUACUGACGGGCUUGAGGGCUGGAGAGGUGAGCGGAAUUCCCAGUGUAGUCGUAAAAUACGUAGAGAUCGGGAGGAACACCAGCGGCGCAGGCGGCUCACUAGACAGUUUCUGACGCUAAGAUACGAAAGCGUGGGGAGCAAACA
RNAcentral lists this ribosomal RNA (425 nucleotides) under uncultured prokaryote. Its description in RNAcentral is "bacterial SSU rRNA". It matches the Rfam family "Bacterial small subunit ribosomal RNA", at positions 355 to 774 of the family's 1533-position model. The record is from RNAcentral.